Long non-coding RNA from Gorilla gorilla gorilla (western lowland gorilla), 1978 nucleotides. RefSeq lists it as uncharacterized. The transcript is spliced from 3 exons. The record is from RefSeq and is a predicted model, not a curated record. NCBI's taxonomy places the organism in Eukaryota, Metazoa, Chordata, Mammalia, Primates, Hominidae.
AGAACUCUCAGGCUGUGGGGUGGAGAGAAGGCCAUUCUGAGGUCAACUGAAACCUCACUUGAGGGGCAGUUCCAUAGAUGGGAAUGAGGAGAGAGUCAUGGCCACAGCCACCUUGCCAAGGAGAGAGGCCAUAACUGCCAGACAGAACCGAGGAUGGAGGGGCUUCAGCAGCAUGAACAAUCCACACUCAGCAUGGGUCACUCUCUGGGACACACAUUUCCCCCUGGCUGAAAGGCUGAGCUGCUCCAGGGCCAACUGUGAGGUCAGACAGCUGCCCAGGGAUGUCUCCGGCCACUCAAGGGAAGAAGAGACCACUCACCUGUAAUUUCAACAGCAACAAAAGACCUGAGGUUCCACCAUCAGAACUUCACGCCCUAAGGAAGAUGCAGCAUUUCCUGUAAAAUGCAAGUGCUCCCAGGCAGAGGUAGCUCCUGAAGACAUGAUCAGUUAUGUAUACCUUAGUGGCAGCUGAUUAAUAGACCCUUCCCAAGAGCCAGCUGACAGGAAGCACAUCGGGGUAAAAGGGAAGAUGAAAACUUGGGUGCCCGGAGGAAGGGAACAAAUGCGAGCAGGAGCAUGGUAAUAACAUAGAAACCCUGGGCCCCUUCCCCAGCUGUCAUGAAGGUGCCUGAGUGAUGGUCAGAGAGAUGACUGGAGGGGCCCACCCGGCCACCGCAGCAGCAGCAGCCAAGGCGGGACUAAGCCUCCACACCCCACAUCUCAUUCGUGGCCAGCCCGGGAUGCCUGCCUCUCCUGCCCUGUGGUGUUGCUGUCCUCAUAUGACCCUUCAGUCCCCCGACAUGUGAGUCUCCUGGGGACUCAGACCUGCAGCUCCUCACUCAGUUCCUGCCUUGGCACCCCUCCCACCAAAAAGUCUUCUCCACAGGCCCUGGCUUGCUGCCCUCCCCCCAGACAUCCCCUGGUCUCCCCCAGCCUCCCCACCUCUAAACUCAUCAUUUGUGUUCUUCCUCCACAUGGCUACCAAAGUCAUCUUUCAUUUUUAAUUUUUAUUUAACCAAAAUAUCAUAUAAGCACAUUAUUUUCAAAAAUAGUGCUACAAAUUCAGGAACGCAAACUAGGAAUAUAAAUAAACUUUCUUUUUUCUCUCUUUCUCUCCUUCCUUCCUUCCUUUCCUUCCUUCCUUCCUCCCUCUCUCUCUUUCUUCCUGUCUCUCGUUCUUCCUCUCUUUCUUCCUCUCUCUUUUUCUUUCUUUCUUCCUUUUCCUUUCUUUCUUUUUCUUUCUUUCUCUUUCUUUCCUUCCUUCCUUCCUUCAUUCCUCCCUUCUCUUUCUUUCUUUCCUCCUUUCUUCUUUCUCUCUCUCUUUCUUUUAUUCUUUCUUUAUUCAAAGUCUUGCUCUGUUGCCCAGGCUAGAGUGCAUUGAUAAAAUCAGAGCUCACUGUAGCCUUGAUUUCCUGGACUCAAGUGAUCCUCCUGCCUCAGCCUUCCUAGAAGCUGGGACCACAGGAGUGUGCCACCAUGCCUGGCUAAUUUAAAAAAAUUUUUUUAGAGACGGGGUCUCACUAUGUUGUCCAGGCUGGUCUUGAACUCCUAGGCUCAAGCAAUCCUUCCACCUUGGCCUCCCAAAGUGCUGAGAUUACAGGCAUGAGCCAUCACACCCGGCCAGAAAUAAACUUUAUUAAGCUGAUAAAAGGGUACCUACAAAAAUCCUACCGCAGAUGUGAUACUUGGAGUACCAUGUGGAACGCUUUCCCUCUGAAAUCAAGAAUGAGACCAGCAUGGUUGCACUGCCACUUUUAUUCAUCACUGCACAGCAGGUCUUAAUCAGUGACAUAAGCAAGAACAGACAAAAAGAUAUGCAGGGGCCAGAACACAUUUUCUAAAUUCCUAAUAUUGUAAAAACAUUUUUAAUUGUUUUAUUGCUUAAAAAAUAAUAUAAACUACCUCAAAUCCUUAGAAGGAGCAAGGUAGAUGUGGAAAUUAAAGAUGCCACCAAUUAUUUGCUACUGCACUGAGUCAA